RNAcentral lists this ribosomal RNA (267 nucleotides) under uncultured bacterium. RNAcentral describes it as "partial 16S ribosomal RNA". It matches the Rfam family "Bacterial small subunit ribosomal RNA", at positions 793 to 1055 of the family's 1533-position model. The record is from RNAcentral.
GUCCACGCUGUAAACGAUGUGUGCUAGACGUUGGGGAGCCUAGCUCUUCGGUGUCGCAGCUAACGCGGUAAGCACACCGCCUGGGGAGUACGGCCGCAAGGUUAAAACUCAAAGGAAUUGACGGGGGCCCGCACAAGCGGUGGAGCAUGUGGUUUAAUUCGACGCAACGCGAAGAACCUUACCAGCUCUUGACAUGUCUCGUAUGGGUGGGGGAGACCUCAUUCUUCAGUUCGGCUGGCGGGAACACAGGUGCUGCAUGGCUGUCGU